This 433-nucleotide ribosomal RNA is filed under the name uncultured bacterium. Its description in RNAcentral is "partial 16S ribosomal RNA". It matches the Rfam family "Bacterial small subunit ribosomal RNA", at positions 29 to 507 of the family's 1533-position model. The record is from RNAcentral.
AACGAACGCUGGCGGCAGGCCUAACACAUGCAAGUCGAGCGAGGACUUCGGUUCUAGCGGCGGACGGGUGAGUAACGCGUGGGAAUGUGCCCUUCUCUACGGAAUAGCCCUGGGAAACUGGGAGUAAUACCGUAUACGCCCUUUUGGGGAAAGAUUUAUCGGAGAAGGAUCAGCCCGCGUUGGAUUAGGUAGUUGGUGGGGUAAUGGCCUACCAAGCCGACGAUCCAUAGCUGGUUUGAGAGGAUGAUCAGCCACACUGGGACUGAGACACGGCCCAGACUCCUACGGGAGGCAGCAGUGAGGAAUCUUAGACAAUGGGGGCAACCCUGAUCUAGCCAUGCCGCGUGAGUGAUGAAGGCCUUAGGGUUGUAAAGCUCUUUCAGCUGGGAAGAUAAUGACGGUACCAGCAGAAGAAGCCCCGGCUAACUCCGUA